UUAAGUUUUUCUCUCAAUCUCCCUCUCCCUUAAUCCCCUAAUCCAUCAAUCUAGGUGGUCCUGUGAAAAGAUAGGAAGAGGGGAGAUGGAUCUAGUUCUUUUUGCAGAUCCUUGCAGAUUGAUAUUUCAGAUCCGACGAUGAAGCACUUGUAGAUCAGAUAAGGUUUAUUUCUUCUGAACAACAAGAAAGGUAUGCAUCGUAAUAUUGUUAGAUCCAAUUAUUUGAUUUCAAUCUUGGUAUAAAAGUUUUUCCGCA
Molecule: long non-coding RNA, 256 nt
Filed under: Musa acuminata (dwarf banana)
Lineage: Eukaryota; Viridiplantae; Streptophyta; Magnoliopsida; Zingiberales; Musaceae
Description: long non-coding RNA (MACU_LNC003285)
Source: RNAcentral